CCUACGGGGGGCAGCAGUGAGGAAUAUUGGUCAAUGGACGCAAGUCUGAACCAGCCAUGCCGCGUGCAGGAAGACGGCCCUCUGAGUUGUAAACAGCUUUUGUACGAGGGUAAAUCCCGAGACGUGUAACCGGAUGAAAGUAUCGUACGAACAAGGAUCGGCUAACUCCGUGCCAGCAGCCGCGGUAAUACGGAGGAUUCGAGGGUUAUCCGGAUUUAUUGGGUUUAAAGGGUGCGUAGGCGGUUCGAUAAGUUAGAGGUGAAAUCCCGGGGCUCAACUCCGGCACUGCCUCUGAUACUGUCGGGCUAGAGUUUAGUUGCGGUAGGCGGAAUGUAAGGUGUAGCGGUGAAAUGCAUAGAGAU
This 362-nucleotide ribosomal RNA is filed under the name uncultured bacterium. RNAcentral's name for it is "partial 16S ribosomal RNA". It matches the Rfam family "Bacterial small subunit ribosomal RNA", at positions 338 to 697 of the family's 1533-position model. The record is from RNAcentral.